UACGAAGGGGGCUAGCGUUGCUCGGAAUCACUGGGCGUAAAGCGCACGUAGGCGGCUUUUUAAGUCAGGGGUGAAAUCCUGGAGCUUCAACUCCAGAACUGCCUUUGAUACUGAGAGGCUCGAGUCCGGGAGAGGUGAGUGGAACUGCGAAGUGUAGAGGUGAAAUUCGAUAGAUAUUCGGCAAGAACACCAGUGGCGAAGGCGGCUCACUGGCCCGGUACGUGACGCUGAGGUGCGAAAGCGUGGGGAGCAAACAGG
This 258-nucleotide ribosomal RNA is filed under the name uncultured bacterium. RNAcentral's name for it is "partial 16S ribosomal RNA". It matches the Rfam family "Bacterial small subunit ribosomal RNA", at positions 524 to 776 of the family's 1533-position model. The record is from RNAcentral.